Molecule: ribosomal RNA, 253 nt
Filed under: uncultured bacterium
Lineage: Bacteria
Description: partial 16S ribosomal RNA
Rfam family: Bacterial small subunit ribosomal RNA
Source: RNAcentral
UACAGAGGGGGCAAGCGUUGUUCGGAAUUACUGGGCGUAAAGGGCGCGUAGGCGGCCUUCUAAGUCGAACGUGAAAUCCCCGGGCUCAACCCGGGAACUGCGUCCGAUACUGGAAGGCUUGAAUCCGGGAGAGGGAUGCGGAAUUCCACGUGUAGCAGUGAAAUGCGUAGAGAUGUGGAGGAACACCGAUGGCGAAGGCAGCCCCCUGGGUCAAGAUUGACGCUCAUGCACGAAAGCGUGGGGAGCAAACAGG